AGUCGAACGGAAAGGCCCUUCGGGGUACUCGAGUGGCGAACGGGUGAGUAACACGUGGGUGAUCUGCCCUGCACUUUGGGAUAAGCCUGGGAAACUGGGUCUAAUACCGAAUAGGACCGCAUGCUUCAUGGUGUGUGGUGGAAAGCUUUUGCGGUGUGGGAUGGGCCCGCGGCCUAUCAGCUUGUUGGUGAGGUAAUGGCUUACCAAGGCGACGACGGGUAGCCGGCCUGAGAGGGUGACCGGCCACACUGGGACUGAGAUACGGCCCAGACUCCUACGGGAGGCAGCAGUGGGGAAUAUUGCACAAUGGGCGCAAGCCUGAUGCAGCGACGCCGCGUGAGGGAUGACGGCCUUCGGGUUGUAAACCUCUUUCGCCAGGGACGAAGCGCAAGUGACGGUACCUGGAGAAGAAGGACCGGCCAACUACGUGCCAGCAGCCGCGGUAAUACGUAGGGUCCGAGCGUUGUCCGGAAUUACUGGGCGUAAAGAGCUCGUAGGUGGUUUGUCGCGUUGUUCGUGAAAACUCACAGCUUAACUGUGGGCGUGCGGGCGAUACGGGCAGACUUGAGUACUGCAGGGGAGACUGGAAUUCCUGGUGUAGCGGUGGAAUGCGCAGAUAUCAGGAGGAACACCGGUGGCGAAGGCGGGUCUCUGGGCAGUAACUGACGCUGAGGAGCGAAAGCGUGGGGAGCGAACAGGAUUAGAUACCCUGGUAGUCCACGCCGUAAACGGUGGGUACUAGGUGUGGGUUUCCUUCCUUGGGAUCCGUGCCGUAGCUAACGCAUUAAGUACCCCGCCUGGGGAGUACGGCCGCAAGGCUAAAACUCAAAGAAAUUGACGGGGGCCCGCACAAGCGGCGGAGCAUGUGGAUUAAUUCGAUGCAACGCGAAGAACCUUACCUGGGUUUGACAUGCACAGGACGCCGGCAGAGAUGUCGGUUCCCUUGUGGCCUGUGUGCAGGUGGUGCAUGGCUGUCGUCAGCUCGUGUCGUGAGAUGUUGGGUUAAGUCCCGCAACGAGCGCAACCCUUGUCUCAUGUUGCCAGCACGUUAUGGUGGGGACUCGUGAGAGACUGCCGGGGUCAACUCGGAGGAAGGUGGGGAUGACGUCAAGUCAUCAUGCCCCUUAUGUCCAGGGCUUCACACAUGCUACAAUGGCCGGUACAAAGGGCUGCGAUGCCGUGAGGUGGAGCGAAUCCUUUCAAAGCCGGUCUCAGUUCGGAUCGGGGUCUGCAACUCGACCCCGUGAAGUCGGAGUCGCUAGUAAUCGCAGAUCAGCAACGCUGCGGUGAAUACGUUCCCGGGCCUUGUACACACCGCCCGUCACGUCAUGAAAGUCGGUAACACCCGAAGCCGGUGGCCUAACCCCUUGUGGGA
RNAcentral lists this ribosomal RNA (1375 nucleotides) under Mycolicibacterium gilvum. Its description in RNAcentral is "bacterial SSU rRNA". It matches the Rfam family "Bacterial small subunit ribosomal RNA". The record is from RNAcentral. Lineage: Bacteria; Bacillati; Actinomycetota; Actinomycetes; Mycobacteriales; Mycobacteriaceae.